Molecule: ribosomal RNA, 568 nt
Filed under: uncultured Gammaproteobacteria bacterium
Lineage: Bacteria; Pseudomonadati; Pseudomonadota; Gammaproteobacteria
Description: bacterial SSU rRNA
Rfam family: Bacterial small subunit ribosomal RNA
Source: RNAcentral
UCGAUUUGGAGUUUGUUGCCUAGAGUGAUGGGCUCCGAAGCUAACGCGAUAAAUCGACCGCCUGGGAGUACGGCCGCAAGGUUAAGACUCAAAUGAAUUGACGGGGGCCCGCACAAGCGGUGGAGCAUGUGGUUUAAUUCGAUGCAACGCGAAGAACCUUACCUGGUCUUGACAUCCACAGAAUCUUGCAGAGAUGUGAGAGUGCCUUCGGGAACUGUGAGACAGGUGCUGCAUGGCUGUCGUCAGCUCGUGUUGUGAAAUGUUGGGUUAAGUCCCGCAACGAGCGCAACCCUUAUCCUUUGUUGCCAUCGGUUCGGCCGGGAACUCAAAGGAGACUGCCGUUGAUAAAGCGGAGGAAGGUGGGGACGACGUCAAGUCAUCAUGGCCCUUACGACCAGGGCUACACACGUGCUACAAUGGCGUAUACAAAGGGAGGCGACCUCGCGAGAGCAAGCGGACCUCAUAAAGUACGUCUAAGUCCGGAUUGGAGUCUGCAACUCGACUCCAUGAAGUCGGAAUCGCUAGUAAUCGUGAAUCAGAAUGUCACGGUGAAUACGUUCCCGGGCCU